UAAAGUUGUAUACUAUAAAUAUAAAUGAUUUUUAAAUUUAUCAGUAUAAAAAUAUAACAAAGAUACAUUCAGAAGAGGAAAAAUCACUAUGAAGGAAAUGGAAGGACAAGGAGAUAAGAAGCCAAGGAAGAGAACACUCUCUUUAUUGUAGAUAAUUUUCUUUUCUUUUUGUAAAAAGAAUCAAGUUUAUUCAUGCUAAAAUUAUUUAACUUGGCUACCUGUCAAGGGCAGCACAAAAUGGAGGUAUAAUUCCUAAAGUUCUCCAGCACAAGAAACUUUGUACCUGGCCAAGCAUAGUUUGCUGGGGAAUACCAUGCCUCACAGGUAUGUCCCCACUGCCACAUUUGCCCCUGCCUUCAAGUUGCUCUGCCAGUGUCCUUCACCUCAUUAUCCCCUAUAGCAUUCCAGGAGAUAGUUCACUAUUAGAACACAGAGAACAGUAUUAGGUAGGUCGCUUGAGGGAAAGAGGGCAGUAAAUACAUCAUGGAUCCCUUUCAGAUCAAUAGUAUUCAGUUUAAGGUAAGUAUAUCAGUAUAAAAAUUAAACUGAAAGAAUAUGGAGGAGGUUAUGUGUGUGUCCCUCAAAAAUGCUUGAUUCUUGUUCAUUUGAUAUAAAUCUCAGUUUUAUAGGAGCUUAUCUUUUCCUACUUCCAGUUAGAACAUAGAUUGAUAAGAUUGAUUUGUUCCUUGGUUCAAAACCAAAUACCAGAUAAAAGUUUUUUUCUAUGUGUUCCACUUUCCAAGGUACAUUAUCACUUUCUCUUUUUACUCUCAAUUCCUACUGUCAGAGCACGAUAUGCAGCACACUAUGCCAUAUCCUUAGAAAGGUCUUUUUCGUAUUUUUUCCCAGUAACAAAUAUUUUUAAUGUUCUUCUUAGACAAACAUUUACUUCCAAUAAAUGGAAGCAGGUAAACACAGGAUAAUUGUGUGUUUGAAAAAGAGAGACGGGCUAUGUAAAGGCACAGAUCCCAAUGCUGGAUCCUGAGCAGCCACUGCAUGGCCAACCCAAGCAGUUAACUUCCCUCUUCACCUUCAGCACUUUUGGACAGUUCAUAACUAAAAAAAGUUUGUGAGAAAGAAAGCACAAUAAUUAAAUUAAUAUCUAAUUUUAAAAUAUUUGAGUGUGUCAGAAUAUCAUUUCUCUAAGAAA
This 1150-nucleotide long non-coding RNA is filed under the name Marmota monax (woodchuck). Lineage: Eukaryota; Metazoa; Chordata; Mammalia; Rodentia; Sciuridae. The record is from RNAcentral.